RNAcentral lists this long non-coding RNA (1188 nucleotides) under Cervus hanglu yarkandensis (Yarkand deer). Its description in RNAcentral is "lncRNA (ENSCHYG00000025716.1)". Lineage: Eukaryota; Metazoa; Chordata; Mammalia; Artiodactyla; Cervidae. The record is from RNAcentral.
AUGCGGGGCUGUGCGUGCGCUCCCACUAGGAGGAGAAUGCCGUUUCCUCUCCGCAGGCUUUUUAGCACUGCGGGCACUAAUUUGUGCAGGGGGCUGCCUCGCAGUCCCCGAAGGAACUUGAGAUCCCGCAAAUGUACUCGCUACAUUUGCCCUCCCCCUACCCCCAAAUGCAAGGACCCCCGUCCUCCACCCUCCGGGCCCACGGGAGAGCGCACACACAAUAAGAGGCCUGGCCCGGCCACUCCUUCUGGGCGCAGACUUGGUCCCCGUUCCGCGGCCAGUUCUGACAAUGACCAGCACCUCGCCCGGCCCCUGCGCCCUGGUUCUCCACUAACAACGCGGCGGCCGGGAGCCUUGGCGCCCCGCUCGCCCGACUCCCCGUUUCCAGCGCGGCGGUGGCACCAGACAAAAGAGGCAGGUGCCCGCGGCCCCGGGGCCGCCCGCACACAGCGCCCCCGGCCGGGGCAGGACCGGGCAGCGCCUUUCGAGGAACGGCAGGCUGGGCGGCGGCGGCCAAGGGGCGCCCACCGGCCCUCCGCGCCCGCGCUUCCCCGGCGCCCCGCGACUGCGGGAAGAGCGGGCUCGGCCCGGCCCCCGGCGGGACCCCCGGCAGGCCCUCCCCACUGCUCCCUUCCCCAGGCGAAGGCAAACCACGCACCGGUCCGCGGAGAGACGCCGCCGGGGGUCUUUGUGGCCGCGCUCGGGCCGCCUCGUGCGCUGUCCUCGCCGGGCUGGGCGCGGCCGGGCCACGGGGCUGCGGGGCCGGGGCUGGGCGGCGGCGGCAGGAGCGCGGGCGUCUGGGCUGCAGCCGCUAGAGCAGGGAUGCGCCUCGGCCGGUCCUCAUUGAAAUGCGGCGCUUCGCACAGCCUCACUCCUGCCUCUCUCCGGAGGAGGGCGGCGGCGGCGGGCGCGCUCCCUUUUCUUGUGGCUGGCUCGCUCGCCCGCCCCGCUCCUCCUGCUCCUCCUCCGCGUGCGCGCCCCGCGCCCCCGCCCCUCCAGGCCGGGCGCACCCACCACGGCUGCGCCCCGGGCCCCCGCCUCCCGCGCCCUAGCCUGCCACGGCGACCUCGGUGCGUCUGGCUAGACAAACCCCCUGACCUCCCCGGGCCCCGGGAGUGGUUGUCUGGAGACAGGGGGCGGUCGGUGGUGGACCUGGGGGCCGGGAGAGAGAACGUGGACCGGGUCUGA